UACGUAGGGGGCAAGCGUUAUCCGGAUUUACUGGGUGUAAAGGGAGCGUAGACGGCUUUGCAAGCCAGAUGUGAAAGCCCGGGGCUCAACCCCGGGACUGCAUUUGGAACUGUAUGGCUGGAGUGUCGGAGAGGCAGGCGGAAUUCCUAGUGUAGCGGCGAAAUGCGUAGAUAUUAGGAGGAACACCAGUGGCGAAGGCGGCCUGCUGGGCGAUGACUGACGUUGAGGCUCGAAAGCGUGGGGAGCAAACAGG
RNAcentral lists this ribosomal RNA (253 nucleotides) under uncultured bacterium. RNAcentral's name for it is "partial 16S ribosomal RNA". It matches the Rfam family "Bacterial small subunit ribosomal RNA", at positions 524 to 776 of the family's 1533-position model. The record is from RNAcentral.